GCCCUGGUAGCUCAAUUGGUUAGAGCGUCGGACUUUUACGAUCUAUGAUUGACCGGUGUGCAAUCCGAAGGCUGCGGGUUCGACCCCCGCCUGGGGCG
Xylaria arbuscula is the source of this 98-nucleotide non-coding RNA. The record is from the annotation of a GenBank genome assembly. Lineage: Eukaryota; Fungi; Ascomycota; Sordariomycetes; Xylariales; Xylariaceae.